This 450-nucleotide ribosomal RNA is filed under the name uncultured bacterium. Its description in RNAcentral is "partial 16S ribosomal RNA". It matches the Rfam family "Bacterial small subunit ribosomal RNA", at positions 354 to 796 of the family's 1533-position model. The record is from RNAcentral.
GUGGGGAAUAUUGGACAAUGGGCGAAAGCCUGAUCCAGCCAUGCCGCGUGUGUGAAGAAGGUCUUCGGAUUGUAAAGCACUUUAAGUUGGGAGGUAGGGCAGUAAGUUAAUACCUUGCUGUUUUGACGUUACCGACAGAAUAAGCACCGGCUAACUUCGUGCCAGCAGCCGCGGUAAUACGAAGGGUGCAAGCGUUAAUCGGAAUUACUGGGCGUAAAGCGCGCGUAGGUGGUUUUGUAAGUUGGAGGUGAAAUCCCCGGGCUCAACCUGGGAACUGCCUCCAAAACUGCAAGACUAGAGUACGGUAGAGGGUAGUGGAAUUUCCUGUGUAGCGGUGAAAUGCGUAGAUAUAGGAAGGAACACCAGUGGCGAAGGCGACUACCUGGACUGAUACUGACACUGAGGUGCGAAAGCGUGGGGAGCAAACAGGAUUAGAUACCCGAGUAGUCC